AUUGAACGCUGGCGGCAUGCCUUACACAUGCAAGUCGAACGGCAGCACGGGUGCUUGCACCUGGUGGCGAGUGGCGAACGGGUGAGUAAUACAUCGGAACAUGUCCUGUAGUGGGGGAUAGCCCGGCGAAAGCCGGAUUAAUACCGCAUACGAUCUACGGAUGAAAGCGGGGGCCCUUCGGGCCUCGCGCUAUAGGGUUGGCCGAUAGCUGAUUAGCUAGUUGGUGGGGUAAGGCCUACCAAGGCGACGAUCAGUAGCUGGUCUGAGAGGACGACCAGCCACACUGGGACUGAGACACGGCCCAGACUCCUACGGGAGGCAGCAGUGGGGAAUUUUGGACAAUGGGCGAAAGCCUGAUCCAGCAAUGCCGCGUGUGUGAAGAAGGCCUUCGGGUUGUAAAGCACUUUUGUCCGGAAAGAAAUCCUUGGCUCUAAUACAGUCGGGGGAUGACGGUACCGGAAGAAUAAGCACCGGCUAACUACGUG
Molecule: ribosomal RNA, 485 nt
Filed under: uncultured bacterium
Lineage: Bacteria
Description: partial 16S ribosomal RNA
Rfam family: Bacterial small subunit ribosomal RNA
Source: RNAcentral